This is a long non-coding RNA of Mirounga angustirostris (Northern elephant seal), 1004 nucleotides long. RefSeq lists it as uncharacterized. The transcript has 6 exons. The record is from RefSeq and is a predicted model, not a curated record. NCBI's taxonomy places the organism in Eukaryota, Metazoa, Chordata, Mammalia, Carnivora, Phocidae.
AAGGCUCUUAAACAGGUGCCUCUUCAGAGAGACAGGUGAGUCUCUACUACUAAAGGCCCUGUGUGGAAAAUGGAAGACAUGGAUAUCUUGGAUUAUUUGGUCACUGACCUUCUUGAAGACUGUUGCAAGGAAUGAAUUAGAUGUGUCACAGGAUGGUAAUCAUUUAACAUGACACUGUGUCAAAAAACAUAUCUGUCUCUUAAAAAGAUCUCCAAUGUUGUAAUCAGAAGAGAGACCUGGAACUUCCGUGGAGAUGGAGGACACUCAGAAUAAAUGUCACCAAUGUUCAGAUAGCCAGGGUGGCCAGCAAAGGAGUUUCUGCAUGAACAUGAGAAAUCCACACUGCUUUAGGAUAGGCAGCACAGAGGCGGCCCAGGUGAAGGAGGGGGUGCGGGAGCCUGACUUCCAUCCUUGUGCAAUGCAGCCACGUGGAGGGAAGGGGAAACAGGUGGAGAGGGUGCCCACCGUGGAGCUGCUUCUGCCACUGAAUCCGUCUCACUCUGAUACUCACACCACGUUAAAGAAGGUGGCCAUUGCACGAGUUUUUAUUUCUCCUGAGAAGAAAAUCUAAGAGAAUGGAGCCGUAACAAGGUCCAGGGUCUUGCCCGACAAUGGGCAACUCCUGUGUGAAAGAAUCAAGAAGCAGUUCUGGAGACAGGGAUGCUGACCCUGAACUGAGAGCUCUCGGCACUACACUACAGUUUGUCAAUUCCAGAGGCCAAGUAAAGGCUUUGUAAAGUGCUGAGUGGGGAAAUGCUAAAGCUGCUCUCACGAAGGGAGAUUUGUUCAAUAAUCCCCAGGAUUGCAGCGAAACACCCAAGGACAGAUAUAUCUACUCGGCUGUAGUCAAGACACCUCCAUCUCCCCCAGGUUAAAGCCAAGAAGUCCCCAAUAUCUGCUAGUCGUCCAAGAAUAAAGCAGGCUGAAAUUCAUUUGGAUCCAUGUCUCCAUUUGCUAGUGUUUUAAGUCCAAACUCUCAACCUCAAAUUCCUGUCCUAAGCAAA